AUUGAACGCUGGCGGCAGGCCUAACACAUGCAAGUCGAACGGUAACAGGAAGCAGCUUGCUGCUUCGCUGACGAGUGGCGGACGGGUGAGUAAUGUCUGGGAAGCUGCCUGAUGGAGGGGGAUAACUACUGGAAACGGUAGCUAAUACCGCAUAAUGUCGCAAGACCAAAGAGGGGGACCUUCGGGCCUCUUGCCAUCGGAUGUGCCCAGAUGGGAUUAGCUUGUUGGUGGGGUAACGGCUCACCAAGGCGACGAUCCCUAGCUGGUCUGAGAGGAUGACCAGCCACACUGGAACUGAUACACGGUCCUUACUCCUACGGGAGGCAGCAGUGGGGAAUAUUGCACAAUGGGCGCAAGCCUGAUGCAGCCAUGUCGCGUGUAUGAAGAAGGCCUUCGGGUUGUAAAGUACUUUCAGCGGGGAGGAAGGGAGUAAAGUUAAUACCUUUGCUCAUUGACGUGACCCGCACAAGAAUCACCGGUUAACUCCGUGCCAGCAGCCGCCGUAAUACGGAGGGUGAAUGCGUUAAUCGGAAUUACUGGGGCGUAAAGCGCAUCGCAGGCGGUUUGUUAAGUCAGAUGUGAAAUCCCCGGGCUCAACCUGGGAACUGCAUCUGAUACUGGCAAGCUUGAGUCUCGUAGAGGGGGGUAGAAUUCCAGGUGUAGCGGUGAAAUGCGUAGAGAUCUGGAGGAAUACCGGUGGCGAAGGCGGCCCCCUGGACGAAGACUGACGCUCAGGUGCGAAAGCGUGGGGAGCAAACAGGAUUAGAUACCCUGGUAGUCCACGCCGUAAACGAUGUCGACUUGGAGGUUGUGCCCUUGAGGCGUGGCUUCCGGAGCUAACGCGUUAAGUCGACCGCCUGGGGAGUACGGCCGCAAGGUUAAAACUCAAAUGAAUUGACGGGGGCCCGCACAAGCGGUGGAGCAUGUGGUUUAAUUCGAUGCAACGCGAAGAACCUUACCUGGUCUUGACAUCCACGGAAGUUUUCAGAGAUGAGAAUGUGCCUUCGGGAACCGUGAGACAGGUGCUGCAUGGCUGUCGUCAGCUCGUGUUGUGAAAUGUUGGGUUAAGUCCCGCAACGAGCGCAACCCUUAUCCUUUGUUGCCAGCGGUCCGGCCGGGAACUCAAAGGAGACUGCCAGUGAUAAACUGGAGGAAGGUGGGGAUGACGUCAAGUCAUCAUGGCCCUUACGACCAGGGCUACACACGUGCUACAAUGGCGCAUACAAAGAGAAGCGACCUCGCGAGAGCAAGCGGACCUCAUAAAGUGCGUCGUAGUCCGGAUUGGAGUCUGCAACUCGACUCCAUGAAGUCGGAAUCGCUAGUAAUCGUGGAUCAGAAUGCCACGGUGAAUACGUUCCCGGGCCU
Molecule: ribosomal RNA, 1365 nt
Filed under: uncultured bacterium
Lineage: Bacteria
Description: bacterial SSU rRNA
Rfam family: Bacterial small subunit ribosomal RNA
Source: RNAcentral